RNAcentral lists this long non-coding RNA (419 nucleotides) under Elaeis guineensis (African oil palm). RNAcentral's name for it is "long non-coding RNA (EGUI_LNC045927)". Lineage: Eukaryota; Viridiplantae; Streptophyta; Magnoliopsida; Arecales; Arecaceae. The record is from RNAcentral.
AAGGGAGGAGGAGGUGUUUGGAAGAAUUUUGAUAUAAGAAAGAAGAGCUUCAUCUCUUUAGCACACGCCAUCUCUCCUUCUUUUAUUUUUGUCACUCCAACCAGAUCUCUAAUGCCCCAAACCCUUCUUAACACCUUAAAAUAUCAAAUCCCAUUGGAUCUUGGGCAUCCAAAACAAAAAGAAUGGAUGAGAUGCAUUGAGAUAAGGGAAGAAAAAAGGAGAGAUGUCUCACGCCAACAAUUAGCACAUGUCCCAACUUUCUCAAUUUUUUUUUGUUUCAUAAAAAAAACAUUUCAUGCCCUCAUUAGAGAGAUUUUUAUCUUAUUUUAAAUCAAAUUCAAAUAAAAAAAAAUUUUGAUGAAAAAAAGUUCCAGAUAAAGUGGGGCGCCAAUUUUUUUUUAUGAAAAAAAGUUCCAGAU